RNAcentral lists this ribosomal RNA (253 nucleotides) under uncultured bacterium. RNAcentral describes it as "partial 16S ribosomal RNA". It matches the Rfam family "Bacterial small subunit ribosomal RNA", at positions 524 to 775 of the family's 1533-position model. The record is from RNAcentral.
UACGGGGGGAGCAAGCGUUGUUCGGAUUUACUGGGCGUAAAGGGCGCGUAGGCGGCCACCGCAAGUCGGUUGUGAAAUCUCUGGGCUUAACCCAGAAAGGUCAACCGAUACUGCGGGGCUAGAGUGCAGAAGGGGCAACUGGAAUUCUCGGUGUAGCGGUGAAAUGCGUAGAUAUCGAGAGGAACACCGGUGGCGAAGGCGGCCUCUGGACAGUGACUGACGCUGGAGACGCGAAAGCGUGGGGAGCAAACAG